AUUUCUAUAUGAAAUAGCCUAUGAAUUCACUUGUUGUGAUAGGUGAUCACAAAGACCACAAUAUCCUUGGAGUUGGAACAUUCAUUUCAAUGAUAUGAUCAAAUUGUUAGGUCAAAUAUGAGGAAUUAUGAGUUUGUGUCCAAUACUGACAUCGAUUAAAAUAUGAUUGAAUAUAGAUUUUUUAAUGAAAGAUAUAAAGUGAGCAUCCUAAAGAUCCAUAGAAAUAGAUGCAAUUGGAUGCUUGUGUUUUCACAGAUAAAGUACAA
This 266-nucleotide long non-coding RNA is filed under the name Elaeis guineensis (African oil palm). Its description in RNAcentral is "long non-coding RNA (EGUI_LNC032714)". Lineage: Eukaryota; Viridiplantae; Streptophyta; Magnoliopsida; Arecales; Arecaceae. The record is from RNAcentral.